This 608-nucleotide long non-coding RNA is filed under the name Homo sapiens (human). RNAcentral describes it as "long non-coding RNA NONHSAT209613.1". Lineage: Eukaryota; Metazoa; Chordata; Mammalia; Primates; Hominidae. The record is from RNAcentral.
AGUGCUGUUUAUACCAGAUGAAUCUACAAAGCCAAGAACAGGAAUCACCGUAUCUCCUUCAGUAGACCUGAUACAAGGGAAGAGGGCUUCUCAGACCUUCCUAAAGUUUCACUUUCUCAUUUCAGCCACACCACCUCUGGUUAACAGAACCAGAUAUGUCAUAACACUGUCAAUGCCUGGAGGAGAGUAAAAUUCUGACUCUGACCACCAAGCUGAUCUGCACAGAAGGGGAUACAUGAUUAUUCAAAGAAUGCUAGUUGAACCCAAAAUUUCAAACUGCAGCUACAUCUAUCUAAUGUUGUUUCCUCCACCUUCAGUUUUCUCAAGCAGCGUUGUUCUGACACAAACACUGUAACCACUUUUGUGAUAUUGAGCCUUACUCUGUGUGACUCCAGACUGAGCUGAGGUGUGCUUGAAAGAACAUGGGCUUUGAAGUCAAGUGCAUCUUGUCUGUGGUGUGUUUAACAAGUAUGCCCCUCUGAGACACAGCAUCCUUAUUUGUAAAAGAAGGAUAAUAGUGCCCACUUUUCAAGAUUACUGACAUGAGUAGAUUGAGUAGCAUAUGUAAAGUGCCUUUACAUAUAGGAUAUGUCUGUUAAAUGAAUGAU